Molecule: long non-coding RNA, 1604 nt
Organism: Anser cygnoides (Swan goose)
Lineage: Eukaryota; Metazoa; Chordata; Aves; Anseriformes; Anatidae
Source: Ensembl
AUGUUAAUAUCUAGCUUUUCUUUUUAUUUGAUAGGAUUUCUUAAGGAAAUAAGCUGGUGGCGUCAGAUUUCUGUCUGUUUUCUGACCGUACCAUUGAACUCCGGGACAUCUUUGAUACAGUGUGAAGAGUCUCAAAGACAGGAUACUGGGAGACUUUCAAUAGAACUGACAAGUCUGAAAAUUGGAAAGGUUUUCCUAAAAGCUCAUGGAAACAGAUAUUUGGACAUCUUUAACCAGUUUCAAGCGCAAACGUACUGCCCAGAAAAGAUAGGGGCAAAUUGUACCAUGGAUGAGAUCUGGUUUAUUGGCUGCCAAAUGAGUAACACUGGAUUACAAGAAGAAAUACUUUGUACCUACUGUAUUCCAGUGGGAUGACUCUCAUCUCUUUCACUAAGGGUCAUCUUUAGCUGAGUUACUUUCUGAGCAAUCUGGGUAGAGUCGUGACCACACUGAGGUCAUUAGAAAAGUUAAAUGUUCAUGUUGUUGUACUGUAUAUUGUUCCAUGUAGUACAUGUAUUAUCAAUAGUUAUAUAUCAAUUCAUUCUGUGUUAUUUAUUUUUUUUACUUUUAAUGGGAGGAGAACAGAAAGAAUUUUAGCAUUAAUCAGAUAGCUGAAUAUUAUAUCAGUUUUCAUUCACAUGCAAAGUAAAUAUUCAUUACUAUCUCUGGCAUGUGUAGCUCACUGUAUAAUGUUAUAAUAUGCUUAUAUUAUAAUUACUCUCUUUUAUAAUUUAAUAUACUUACAUUAAAGUGUAAUUGCAUAUUCCAGUAUGUAAUUCAUUUAUUCUUGUUAAAAUUAUAUUAGAAUUAUGUGCCCUAAUCUAUAUAUAUUAGGGAAACUCUGGGACUGAAAAACUUGUCCUAAUCAUCAGCAGCUGUAGGAAAAGUAGCUGUCAAUCUUUGCUUCUGACCAGGGAACAGGCUAAUGAAGGAGUCUAGUCUGUUGACCUGUGCAGUUGUCUUCUGAGAUGGCAGGAAAUCCCUCUUUUCUCUUCAACGGGGCAGAGCUGGGUAAUUAUAUGCCUGCUUUUGACAUACAGUGUGUGGAGACUCUGAACUAUGGGCUGGUGGUUAUUUCCAGAAGAGAGCCUCACGGUAUAGGGAGAGCUGCGUUGGUCUGAAUGGAUGAGCUGUGCCUGUUAAUAGAGCUGAUUUGACCAUCAUUUGGAAGUUAACGUCCCUUUGUUUAGGACUUUGGAAGUGACCUCAGGAGCAUUUUUUUUUGCCAAGUAAAAUACAUCCAUUUUAAUUGGAAGCCAAAAGGUCAUCCCUGGCAACCAUGGUUUUUUCACUGAUAUGAGUGACUGUCAUAGAUUGUUUUGACAGACUGUUAUUAACAAAGGGGGUUGGAAUGAUUUCUAGGAUAUUAUCACUCUCUAAAGUAGGGGAUACAUGCCAAGUCCAAGGGAGGAAGCAGUUUCUGCCUUACUGGUGAAAAUGAGCAAGACAAAGUGGCCACAGAAAUCUCACUUUCACAAAUGGAGAUGACUGAGGCAACAAAUCUUUCCACCUAGCCAUAAAGGAAAUCUGUGUCAGAAACUCAGAAAGCAGGUAGAUGAUGGUUUUAAAAAUAAAAAGGAGCAUAACGUUUUAUGGUAAGAUCA